RNAcentral lists this transfer RNA (80 nucleotides) under Fidelibacterota bacterium. Its description in RNAcentral is "tRNA-OTHER". It matches the Rfam family "tRNA". Rfam says of the family: Transfer RNA (tRNA) molecules are approximately 80 nucleotides in length. The record is from RNAcentral. Lineage: Bacteria; Pseudomonadati; Fidelibacterota.
GGGGAUGUAUAACCUCCGUCUUAUAAGCGGUAGAAAGUUUAAGCGGUCACAUGUGGGUUCGAGCCCCACCAUCCCUACCA